UACGUAGGGUGCGAGCGUUAAUCGGAAUUACUGGGCGUAAAGCGUGCGCAGGCGGUGAUGUAAGACCGAUGUGAAAUCCCCGGGCUUAACCUGGGAACUGCAUUGGUGACUGCAUUGCUAGAGUAUGGCAGAGGGGGGUGGAAUUCCACGUGUAGCAGUGAAAUGCGUAGAGAUGUGGAGGAACACCGAUGGCGAAGGCAGCCCCCUGGGCCAAUACUGACGCUCAUGCACGAAAGCGUGGGGACAAACG
Molecule: ribosomal RNA, 250 nt
Filed under: uncultured bacterium
Lineage: Bacteria
Description: partial 16S ribosomal RNA
Rfam family: Bacterial small subunit ribosomal RNA
Source: RNAcentral